GAUGAACGCUGGCGGCGUGCAUAACACGUUCAAGUCGAACGGAGUUCUUUGGUUUGAUCCCUUCGGGUGAUGACGAUUGAACUUAGUGGCGGACGGGUGGGUAACGCGUGAGCAACCUGCCCUUGUGUGGGGAACAACAGUUGGAAACGACUGCUAAUACCGCAUAACCCAAUAGUACGGCAUCGUACAGUUGGCAAAGAUUUAUCGCAUAAGGAUGGGCUCGCGUCUGAUUAGGUAGUUGGUGAGGUAACGGCUCACCAAGCCGACGAUCAGUAGCCGGACUGAGAGGUUGAACGGCCACAUUGGAACUGAGAAACGGUCCAG
RNAcentral lists this ribosomal RNA (324 nucleotides) under uncultured bacterium. RNAcentral describes it as "bacterial SSU rRNA". It matches the Rfam family "Bacterial small subunit ribosomal RNA", at positions 28 to 334 of the family's 1533-position model. The record is from RNAcentral.